UACGGAGGGUGCAAGCGUUAUCCGGAAUCAUUGGGUUUAAAGGGUCCGCAGGCGGUCUUAUAAGUCAGUGGUGAAAGCCUACAGCUCAACUGUAGAACUGCCAUUGAUACUGUAAGACUUGAAUUCGAUCGAAGUGGGCGGAAUAUGACAUGUAGCGGUGAAAUGCUUAGAUAUGUCAUAGAACACCGAUAGCGAAGGCAGCUCACUAGGUCUGGAUUGACGCUCAGGGACGAAAGCGUGGGGAGCAAAC
This 250-nucleotide ribosomal RNA is filed under the name uncultured bacterium. RNAcentral's name for it is "partial 16S ribosomal RNA". It matches the Rfam family "Bacterial small subunit ribosomal RNA", at positions 524 to 773 of the family's 1533-position model. The record is from RNAcentral.